Molecule: ribosomal RNA, 164 nt
Filed under: uncultured bacterium
Lineage: Bacteria
Description: partial 16S ribosomal RNA
Rfam family: Bacterial small subunit ribosomal RNA
Source: RNAcentral
AGACGUAUCCUACGGGGGCAGCAGUGGGGAAUAUUGGGCAAUGGGCGCAAGCCUGACCCAGCAACGCCGCGUGAAGGAAGAAGGCUUUCGGGUUGUAAACUUCUUUUAUCAGGGACGAAGCAAGUGACGGUACCUGAUGAAUAAGCCACGGCUAACUACGUGCC